CCUACGGGAGGCAGCAGUCGAGAAUCAUUCUCAAUGGGGGAAACCCUGCUGGCGCGACGCCGCGUGGGGGAAUGAAGGUCUCCGGAUUGUAAACCCCUGUCAUGUGGGAGCAAAUUAAAAAGAUAGUACCACAAGAGGAAGAGACGGCUAAAUCUGGCCCAGCAGCCGCGGUAAUACAGAGGGCUCAAGCGUUGGUCGGAAUCACUGGGCGUAAAGGGUGCGUAGGGUGUUUCGGAAGGCGGGUGUGAAAGGCGCGGGCUCAACCCGCGGACGGCACAUGAUACUGCGAGACUAGAGUAAUGGAGGGGGAACCGGAAUUCUCGGUGUAGCAGUGAAAUGCGUAGAUAUCGAGAGGAACACUCGUGGCGAAGGCGGGUUCCUGGACAUUAACUGACGCUGAGGCACGAAGGCCAGGGGAGCGAAAGGGAUUAGAUACCCGGGUAGUC
Molecule: ribosomal RNA, 446 nt
Filed under: uncultured bacterium
Lineage: Bacteria
Description: partial 16S ribosomal RNA
Rfam family: Bacterial small subunit ribosomal RNA
Source: RNAcentral